Molecule: ribosomal RNA, 433 nt
Filed under: uncultured bacterium
Lineage: Bacteria
Description: partial 16S ribosomal RNA
Rfam family: Bacterial small subunit ribosomal RNA
Source: RNAcentral
GAUGAACGCUGGCGGCGUGCUUUACGCAUGCAAGUCGAACGGAACGGCAUUGCAGAACAGUGGCGGAAGGGUGAGGAACGCGUGGGAACGUACCUAUUGGUCUAGCAUAGCCUUUCGGAAGGAGUGGGAAUACUGGGGAAACCCGCGAGGGAGACGGGCUGAGGCGUGCGCCGGUAGUGCGGGUUGCGUCGUAUGGGUUUGUUGGUGAGGUAAUGGCUUACGAAGACUAUGACGGGUGGUUGGGCUGCACUGUCGGACAGCCACAAUGGAAAUGCGACAGGGUCCAUAAAUAUACGGAUGGCAGCCACCGUGAAUCUUGGACAAUGGGGGAAACCCUGAUCCAGCGACGCCGCGUGGGGGAAGAAGGUCUUCGGAUUGUAAACUCCUUUUGGCCCGCGUAAUGCGGGCAGAAUAAGCACCUGCCAACUACGUG